CGUCAUACAAUGGUGCUACGAGGGUUGCCACCCGCGAGGUGGAGCUAUAUCCCUUAAAAUGCAUCGUAUUCCGGAUCGAAUUCGGCAACUCAACUACUUGAAGCUGGAAUCGCUAGUAAUCGCGGAUCACCAUGCCGCGGUGAAUACGUCCCCGGGUCUUGUACACACCGCCCGUCACACCAUGGGAGUGGUUUUUGCCAGAAGUAGUUAGCCUACCCGUAAGGAGGGCGAUUACCACGGCAGGGUUCAUGACUGGGGUGAAGUCGUAACAAGGUAGCCGUAUCGGAAGGUGCGGUUGGAUCACCUCCU
Molecule: ribosomal RNA, 309 nt
Filed under: uncultured Ralstonia sp.
Lineage: Bacteria; Pseudomonadati; Pseudomonadota; Betaproteobacteria; Burkholderiales; Burkholderiaceae
Description: partial 16S ribosomal RNA
Rfam family: Bacterial small subunit ribosomal RNA
Source: RNAcentral